AUSYMCUGAUUGCRGUUAAAGCUCGUAGUUGGAUUUCGGGUGGGGUGGUGCGGUCCGCCUCUGGUGUGCACUGCUCCGCUCCACCUUCCUGCCGGGGACGGGCUCCUGGGCUUCACUGUCUGGGACUCGGAGUCGGCGAGGUUACUUUGAGUAAAUUAGAGUGUUCAAAGCAGGCCUACGCUCUGAAUACAUUAGCAUGGAAUAACACGAUAGGACUCUGGCCUAUCUGUUGGUCUGUGGGACCGGAGUAAUGAUUAAGAGGGGUAGUCGGGGGCAUUCGUAUUCCGUUGUCAGAGGUGAAAUUCUUGGAUUUACGGAAGACGAACAUCUGCGAAAGCAUUUGCCAAGGAUACUUUCAUUGAUCAAGAACGAAAGUUGGGGGCUCGAAG
RNAcentral lists this ribosomal RNA (389 nucleotides) under Chlamydomonas sp. MACC 531. Its description in RNAcentral is "SSU rRNA". It matches the Rfam family "Eukaryotic small subunit ribosomal RNA", at positions 615 to 1014 of the family's 1831-position model. The record is from RNAcentral. Lineage: Eukaryota; Viridiplantae; Chlorophyta; Chlorophyceae; Chlamydomonadales; Chlamydomonadaceae.